This 371-nucleotide long non-coding RNA is filed under the name Rattus norvegicus (Norway rat). RNAcentral's name for it is "long non-coding RNA NONRATT032786". Lineage: Eukaryota; Metazoa; Chordata; Mammalia; Rodentia; Muridae. The record is from RNAcentral.
CCCUGCUACCCGUGAUCGGCAGGCCGAACAUCCUUCUACAUAGGCACCUGUAGCUCACACAGGGAUAGCAACCUUAGCUGCCUGCCUGUCUCCACGUCCUUCCUCCCAGCCUGCACUCCAUCGGUUUCUCUUCUUUGGUUUGUAGAAAGAGAAGAACUCGUCCAGGGUGUGCUGGCCCAAGUGGCGGAACAAUUCUCCAGAGCGUUUAAGAUCAACGAGCUGAAAGCUGAAGUUGCGAAUCACCUGGCCAUGCUGGAGAAACGGGUGGAAUGUGAGUGGAGAUUUUUUUGUUUUUCUUCCUUCCCUUUCUGCUUUUUUUUUUUUUUUUUUUUUUUUUUUUUCCGGAGCUGGGGACCGAACCCAGGGCCUUG